CCGUGCUAGGCGGGGAAUUAGCGGUGCCCUGUACUCGCAAUCCGCUCUAGCGAGGCCGAAUCCCCUCCCGAGGGGUGACUGCCUCGGGGCCAGCCCGUUCGUCGCGGUGCUGAUGGCC
This 118-nucleotide signal recognition particle RNA is filed under the name Actinomycetota bacterium. RNAcentral describes it as "partial signal recognition particle sRNA large type". It matches the Rfam family "Bacterial large signal recognition particle RNA", at positions 1 to 115 of the family's 256-position model. From Rfam's summary of the family: The signal recognition particle (SRP) is a universally conserved ribonucleoprotein involved in the co-translational targeting of proteins to membranes. Archaeal SRP consists of a 7S RNA and homologues of the eukaryotic SRP19 and SRP54 proteins. The record is from RNAcentral. Lineage: Bacteria; Bacillati; Actinomycetota.